UGCCAGCAGCCGCGGUAACGCGGGGGGCGCAAGCGUUAUUCGGAAUUAUUGGGCGUAAAGGGCGCGCAGGCGGUCUUGUCCGUCAGGUGUGAAAGCUCGGGGCUCAACCCCGGAAGUGCACUUGAAACAGCAAGACUUGAAUACGGUAGAGGAGAGAGGAAUUCCUGGUGUAGAGGUGAAAUGAGUUGAUAUCAGGAGGAACACCGGUGGCGAAGGCGGCUUUCUGGUGCGGUACUGACGCUGAGGUGCGAAAGCAUGGGGAGCAAACAGGAUUAGAUA
RNAcentral lists this ribosomal RNA (279 nucleotides) under uncultured bacterium. RNAcentral describes it as "partial 16S ribosomal RNA". It matches the Rfam family "Bacterial small subunit ribosomal RNA", at positions 506 to 784 of the family's 1533-position model. The record is from RNAcentral.